Brassica napus (rape) is the source of this 2806-nucleotide long non-coding RNA. RefSeq lists it as uncharacterized. The record is from RefSeq and is a predicted model, not a curated record. NCBI's taxonomy places the organism in Eukaryota, Viridiplantae, Streptophyta, Magnoliopsida, Brassicales, Brassicaceae. The transcript is spliced from 3 exons.
UCUCUCUUCCUUUCUAUAUAAAUGCUUGAAAUGUGAUCAAAGUGACCAUCGCUCGCUAGUAUUAAGAUGGCCUCUAUACUCUCCUCCAUCAUUUUCGUACUUCUUUUCAUAAUAUUUUCACUUUUUGUUGAUGCUCAUAUGGAACACCUUAAACUAAGUGGAGCAAAAGAGACAAUGACCAUGAGGAGGAACUUAGAAGGAAAUUCGGGCUCCAAAAUUACAGCUUCACCGAGCAGGUCGCACCAGAGUGGACAAAAAAACACUCAAAAUGAGCCGUCAAAAAUCCAACCUGAUCAAGCAUCAGCAAUUAUUACAGGCUAUGUAACUCCAGAUUACGUAUGCACCUCCGACAACAAAUGUAAGCAGUUAAAAAAACCCUAGCUAAAAACUCCAGAUUACGUAUGCACACCCGGGACUUGUCAAUGAACUGGUUAUAACUUCGGGUUUGUAGUUUGUACGUUGUUGUGGGGUUUCUAUUUAUGUGGUGUUUCAUUAUUAACUGUGCCACUGUUUUACUGAUGGAAUAAGCAAUUCUUGGAAACUAUAUACUUUUUAGUUUUCCUAUACUCCUUGUAAACUUUCUUGAUUGAUUGAUAUAUGCAAAAGAAGAUAUAAAGCACACACACAACACAUUGAUCGUAUAUUACAUACAAGGAUACAACUUACCUUUCUCAUGUAUUUGUGUACCCGCUGUUUCCAAAUUCGGAUUCAAACAUGAGAGGUGCAAUUUGUAGUCGCAAAGAGGAAAAUUAACUAUUUUAUGUUCCACUGCGAAAUUCAACUAUUUUAGGUUCUGAAAACAAUCAAACACUAAAAGAAGAAUUGGUCAAGAGAAACGGAUAUUUCCACGAAGAUAAUAAUGACGGCGUCAUUUUCUCUAGUGACAGUUACAAGUCUAGCCCCAACCAAGAAAUUGGUUUCGCUUGUUCAUACUGACAUUAACAACAUAGUCGUUAUUGUCUAUACACAUAGAAAUGUGAUGGCAACUAGCAGAGCCGGUUAUGAACUUUGGGUGGCUAGAAGCAAAAAAAAAAAAGAGGCUGGUUUAUGUAAGGAAGUUUACAGAUUUUCGUUCUAAUCGUUUUUAACUAAAUAAAUAAAGAAGUGUUAAGCAAAAACGUUUUAAAACAUGAAAGAUUAGGAUGUGAAGUUUAGAGGUGUGAAAACAGUGAGUUUAACGCUACUCAACGUUCUCUCCCAGGCGCUCAAAUCGAGACACCCACUCCGACCAUGGUUUCCGACGCCGGCAGCUCCGUAGCUUGCCAGAGUCAUCGUCUCUUUCCUCUUUUGUGUUCCUUUGUCUUUCUUUCGUUUUGUUUGACCGUUUUUCUCCAGAAAUUUCUUGUCCUUUUGGGAUUCAUGAGUUCUUCCGCCGUCGCUCUGUCCGUAAGAUGUUGCAGCUGCCGUCUCCGUAUCCUCUGGGUCUUGCUUCUCAUUUGUAGCCCUCCUCCAUCUCUUAUGACUGCACUGACAUCAGAUCUGGCUCAGAUUCGUUCUUCACAUAAACUCCAUUGGCCAGAUUUGAAGAUUCUGCGACGAGCGCCACCUUCGUCGUUCUCUUGGGCGAUGACUUUUUUCCCUCUAGGGAUGAUCUAUUCUAACUGGAUUUGGUGUGAGCGAGAGCUCCAUACAGUUGCUCUUCAUCUACCGCUUGACAGAUCUGUGAAGUUCUACGACUCAGAACACCACUUCCUUUUCAAUCCGGUGAGGAGCCCCCCGCUAGAAGAUACACUUACCAGUCUCUGCUCACCGCAAACAUUGUUCACAUAUGCCCUUCCUGGUAUUUGCUCUCCCAUGUCCAGCUUGUUAGAUUUUGAUGACCAGCAGGUCUGUUUAGGUUCCAUGACAACUCUCUGGAUCCGACGCAGUAACGUUGGAGUCCGAAGUUUCUGUUUGAACCCAACUCCUGGUUACUCAGCAAAUCUAGCCAAGUUCAUAUUUCAAGAGUUUGUUAUAAGGGCUAACAUAUAUUCAUUGCUGGAUUUAACACAUUGGUGUUUACCCGUCACUGCCGUAUGCGCCUAGAAACCAUCAUAUCUCGUAGACUCAUCUUUCUUGUGCUCUUCAUGGCCAAGAACAAAUAUGUAUUCAAAGAUGGAACGCCCAUCAAUGGAGCCUUGCAAAUUGGGAUUAGAACUACAUAGUUAUCUCUCUGGUGCAGUCGUUGGUGUUAACCCACAGAGUUCAAGCCAAAGUCAUCAUCAAUCAUUACCUCUAACACGUGCAAAUGUCAUCACAAGAUUAAUUCUAAAGUGGAGUUUACCAAAGCUUGAAGAUUGCAGCCCUUUAGGCUUUUGUUUACAUAAAAGCCUAACCAAAUUUCCUCAUGUUCAGGGCCUUGAGAGAUCCUUUCCCCAUGUCCUCCUCCUUGUAGGAGAGAAUUUUACCAUCAAAACUCCUUUCCAUGAGAGGUACUUUUCUCUGGGCUUAAAAACCUUAGAGUAUUAUCAUUUUCUUAACUGUUUAGUAUCUUGUGUAAUGGUCCACAUGGGAUCAGAAGAUACAACGGGACUCAUGUCAAUGAGAACCGAGGUUUUAGAGCGCCCAAAGUCACAAUAUACAGUGACCAUUCUCAAGUUAGGAGAGCGAUAUAUCUUUCUAUGGAUAUUACUCGCAUGCACCUUCGAAAACACUUCCAACGCCUUAUCAAACUCUCUUAAGUUUGUGUAUCUAUCUUUAUGUUGCUUUGUUUGGUUUGCUCUUCAAAUUUCAGAACGGAUUGCGCAUCAUAUGUCGGAUGUUGCAUUAACAUUUGUAAUCAUUUAAGAUUAUCAAUGAAUAUCAUGUUGUGAACAAAAAAAAAACA